Long non-coding RNA from Helianthus annuus (common sunflower), 1309 nucleotides. RefSeq lists it as uncharacterized. The transcript is spliced from 5 exons. NCBI's taxonomy places the organism in Eukaryota, Viridiplantae, Streptophyta, Magnoliopsida, Asterales, Asteraceae. The record is from RefSeq and is a predicted model, not a curated record.
UAUUUUUUUUUUCGAUACACGCGUCUCCACAGCCUUCUCACCUUACACCUGGCCGGCUGCUUCUGUAUGUCUGGCAUCAUCUCCUCCAUAAACUCUUUUUCUACGUGUAAACAGUCGGCUAGGGUUCACCUGUAAGAGAUGUUGCUGGUUCAACAUUGAAACAACGGUAGAAGACGAACAUAUAGGCAUUCAGCGGUACGAUUUCAACACUCUCACUCACCGGAAAGAAUGGCGAUUGCUCAACUUUCUUCAAUGUUCAUCUCUAUGUAUCUCCACCACCGCUAGAAUCUCUGUUGUUUCUCACUUUUCGGCGUCAUCCGGUUUGCAUCGAAUUGGAACAAGUUUCAUUGACAAUUCACCCGUUUGGUAGUACGUGUUGAAGUUAGCUCUAUUGUAGAUUUGUACAACUUUGUGUUAAGGUUCAGUACGCAUUAUGUUACAUUAGAGUGAGGGGGUGACGGUGGAUGAAGCCCAUCGUGAAGGAACCUGAUCGCUGCCAUGUCUUAGACGACGGCGAUGGUUUGUGGAAGUUAUGGUCGGAGACUCUUUAAACCUAUUAUGUUGAAGGAUCGUGUUUCACCUAGCAAGGAAGUUGUUAACCAGGUUUAGUACUGGCAGCGAUGGAAGUUUUCGGCUAAAAAUGCUUAACCCCGACGAAUGCUAAUCUGCAGCGCGUUGGGUUGUAAAGCUCUGGGGGUAGGGUUUUGGGCAGAGAAGAGAUGUAGCGAAGAGAAAAAUGGGUUGGAUUCAAAUAUUAAUCUUGGGAUUACUUCAAGGAGAUAUGUAUGAAUUAUACAAAAGGUGUGUGUAAGGCUGUAAGGAUGAGAAGUUGUAGGUAUGUAGUUUCACAAAAGCUUUGGCCAGAGGCGUGCUAUGUUCUCAAUGAAGCCUGAUACAAGGAGAAAUCAAGUCCAAAUCACACUUCGGUCUUGCUUCCGCUUUAGACAUAGGCGCAUCUAGGAAUAAGUUACCAGGUGAUCAUAGCUCUGGCAGUGGGAUCAUAAGAUCAGUGGUGACAUUUUGCAUUUUGCAUUUUGCAUUUUGCAUUUGAGAGUCACAUGCAAGAAAUGAAGCCCAAUGUUUAGGAUACAACACGAAAGUAGUAGCUUUUCACCGAAUUUCGUCAAAUAAUGAAACAGGGUUUUGCGUUUGUUGAAUGGGGGAUGUGUCAUGUGUUUAUUGAGCAUGGGGAGUUCGGUUUCUUAUCAGCGAGCAGUGGCAUGGGGAAGGUGGUUAAUGAAGAACAAAAUGCUCACUGUAUCUACUACAUGUUUAUUAACCGGUCUACAUAUGAAGAAACUUUUGGAUA